GAUGAACGCUGGCGGCGUGCCUAAUACAUGCAAGUCGAGCGAACGGACGAGAAGCUUGCUCUCUGAUGGUAGCGGCGGGCGGGGGGGGAAAACGGGGAUAACCUACCUAUAAGGAUGGGAUAACUUCGGGAAACCGGAGCUAAUACCGGAUAAUAUUUUUGACCGCAUGGGUCAAAAGUGAAAGACGGUCUUGCUGGCACCUAUAGAAGGAACCGCGCUGCAUUAGCUAGUUGGGAAGGUAACGGCUUACCAAGGCAACGAUGCAUAGCCGACCUGAGAGGGUGAUCGGCCACACUGGAACUGAGACACGGUCCAGACUCCUACGGGAGGCAGCAGUAGGGAAUCUUCCGCAAUGGGCGAAAGCCUGACGGAGCAACGCCGCGUGAGUGAUGAAGGUCUUCGGAUCGUAAAACUCUGUUAUUAGGGAAGAACAUAUGUGUAAGUAACUGUGCACAUCUUGACGGUACCUAAUCAGAAAGCCACGGCUAACUACGUG
RNAcentral lists this ribosomal RNA (496 nucleotides) under uncultured bacterium. RNAcentral's name for it is "partial 16S ribosomal RNA". It matches the Rfam family "Bacterial small subunit ribosomal RNA", at positions 28 to 507 of the family's 1533-position model. The record is from RNAcentral.